This is a long non-coding RNA of Ictalurus punctatus (channel catfish), 1697 nucleotides long. RefSeq lists it as uncharacterized. The transcript has 3 exons. Lineage: Eukaryota; Metazoa; Chordata; Actinopteri; Siluriformes; Ictaluridae. The record is from RefSeq and is a predicted model, not a curated record.
AGAAACAACAACAAACGAAAACAAUCACAGACAUUUGAAUGGUUUCCAGUACAAAUAACAUUACAAACCAUCAGCUAACCAUUAAAACCACUACCAUUACCAGUCCUUAAUGGUAUCCAUUAGACAUAACCUGCCACCGAUAGAAGGCAAUAAAUUAUCAGUAGAGACCCACUUACAGUUUCCAUUAAAACCAGUACAAUUCCCAUGAAAACCAUUACAAAUUCUACGAGGGUUUCGAUUGUUUUGGAGCAGGCAUGGCAUUCGUUCUGUACAGCGUAUUCGUUUGUGCUCGUUUUCAUUAAGGGUGCCGAUAAUUCUAGACCUCGAAGUGAGGCCAAGACGAAAGCGAAGUGAGUAGUUAAGGUGUUAAGGGUUUCGUUUAAGAGCCCAAGGCGAACUGAUCGAGGAAAUUACGCAUGUAAGAGUAAAUAAGGUGAAAACCUACUUUACAGACGACGUUUUUGGGUUUUUUUUUUUCUUCCACAUGUAUACAGUCUACACAAGUAAUAUCUGAAAAAUGCUUAUUUUCUAUUCUGUUCUGAUCAGACUGGGUGAUGUGAUGUGAUGGAGGACAUAAAGUUCACUCUGUAAGCUCAGUAAAAGGUCCAGAGGCUCAAACACCAAACAGGAGGUCGGUUAGCUUCAAAUGCCAGAGUAUCACCAGCUACUCGGGUCUCCAACGACAGCCGGAGAAUUUGGCUGUUAGCGCGGCGAUACCGUCUCCUCGGUGCAGUUUGUCAGCUUACAGUGUAUGUGUCGAGCUAUUUAUACCAGCUGAGAUGUGGCUGGAAAAGCACACAGCUCAUCGAGCGUGCCGUUUAACGUUCAGCGCCUGUAAUCUCCUGCACAUAAACACCUUGGAAUUAUUUUUAGGGUUCGCUAAACCUCUCCAGACAUCUGUAGGUCACUGAAAACGAUACAUCAGAGGCUGCAUGGCUCAGACCAAUUGGGAUUCUUAUGCUCUACUUCAGCGAGGAUCCCAGUGGAACCCAGUGUGGUCUUCUGCCGUUCCAGCUCAUCCACCUCAAGGUUGGAUGUUUGGUGCAUGCUGAGAUGCUUUUCUGCUCACCACGCAUGCCUGGAAGUUGGGGUCAGCGCGCAGGGUCAGCCAUGAUACAGCGCCCCCUGGAGCAGAGAGGAUUAAGGGCCUUGCUCAAGGGCCCAACAGUGGCAGCUUGGCAGCUCCGGGGCUCGAACCCCUGACCUUCCGAUCAGUAACCCAGAGCCUUAAUCGCUAAACCACCGCUGCCUCGUGAUUGGCUGGUUAGAUAACUGCAUGAAUGUUCAUGUGUACAGGUGUUCCUAUAAACUGAGCAGUGAGUGUAAAUGAGUUGGAUUAAAUGCAGGUUUAAACCCUCACCUCUUUCUUGAAGGUUCUAUUCGUUGACCCCCUGCCGAGUUGUUGGAUUUUAACAGGCCGAACGUAACAACGGUUUAAUAUUCAAACCCAAGUGGACAGUAAAUAAGAAGCAGGUUUGUACUGAGGUCGCUCUGAAUACAAGUACCGACAGUCUUCAGUCUUCAGUAAUAUCACCCUGUUCCUUUGUUACAAAUCAGUUGAAACGUACGGUAGUGAAGUACAGAUUCCGUCUUGUUGAAGACUCCCUGUCGAUGUACCCGUAAAAUACAUUUUUUUCCCCCAUCGUUAUUGUUAGCACUCAUAAAUCAUCCUCAGGUCAGCAGCAUAAAGAAGAAGG